AUGGCUAGUCCUCUUUCUGCUCCUAUGUCCCCUGAGUUUGAAGUCCUUCACUUCAAACAAAAGCAAGGAGAAAAUUUAAAGUAUGCUUGGUUUAGAAUGAUGGAAUCUUAUCGUAAGUGCACCCUAGAAGUAAAUUUCAGAAUUUUGCUUCGCAACUUUUAUGUUGGGCUUAAUUUGUCUCAUAGACAACUUUUAGAUUGUCUUGCCAAGGGCAAUUUUAUUGAAAUUGAUCCCAGUAUCGCGCAUGAAAUUAUAGAACGUAUAGUAGGAACUUUACCUCAACAAAAGGGGCUCCAUCAUACCGAAGAGAAAAUGCAAGUUUUGAAAAAAAUUGCGAGGUAA
This 342-nucleotide ribosomal RNA is filed under the name Triticum aestivum (bread wheat). Its description in RNAcentral is "partial small subunit ribosomal RNA". The record is from RNAcentral. Lineage: Eukaryota; Viridiplantae; Streptophyta; Magnoliopsida; Poales; Poaceae.